CAUUAAAGAAUCGCCCCGUUUUUUGAAAUGGGUUCUAUUCCCAAACCGUGGCUAUAUACCUUUGUUGCUUUGGCAGGCCGCCACUUAGGCGUUGGCUCCGGCUGACUGCGCCUGCCAGAGGACCUAAACUCGUUUGUUAGUGAUGUCUGAGUACUAUAUAAUAGUUAAAACUUUCAACAACGGAUCCCUUGGUUCUGGCAUCGAUGAAGAACGCAGCGAAAUGCGAUAAGUAAUGUGAAUUGCAGAAUUCAGUGAAUCAUCGAAUCUUUGAACGCACAUUGCGCCCCUUGGUAUUCCGAGGGGCAUGCCUGUUC
This 314-nucleotide unclassified non-coding RNA is filed under the name uncultured Helotiales. RNAcentral's name for it is "sequence contains ITS1, 5.8S rRNA gene and ITS2". The stretch from base 169 to 314 matches the Rfam family "5.8S ribosomal RNA". The record is from RNAcentral. Lineage: Eukaryota; Fungi; Ascomycota; Leotiomycetes; Helotiales.